Molecule: ribosomal RNA, 292 nt
Filed under: uncultured eukaryote
Lineage: Eukaryota
Description: partial 18S ribosomal RNA
Rfam family: Bacterial small subunit ribosomal RNA
Source: RNAcentral
CAAAUGAAUUGACGGGACCCCGCACAAGCGGUGGAUCAUGUUGUUUAAUUCGAGGAUACGCGAAGAACCUUACCAGGCCUUGACAUACCGUGCGAAGCUAUAGAGAUAUAGUGAAGGCUAACACGGAUACAGGUGGUGCAUGGUUGUCGUCAGCUCGUGUCGUGAGAUGUUGGGUUAAGUCCCGCAACGAGCGCAACCCUCAUUGCUAGUUGCCAUCAUUAAGUUGGGGACUCUAGCGAGACUGCCAGUGAUAAACUGGAGGAAGGUGGGGAUGACGUCAAAUCAUCAUGCC